UGUUUUUACCAGUAUAUGA
RNAcentral lists this microRNA (19 nucleotides) under Vespertilionid gammaherpesvirus 1. RNAcentral describes it as "BGHV2 miRNA". The record is from RNAcentral. Lineage: Duplodnaviria; Heunggongvirae; Peploviricota; Herviviricetes; Herpesvirales; Orthoherpesviridae.